AUUUGGCAUUACUCUGCCCUAAUUGUCAUGCUUUAACGGAGAACUAUAGGGGAAAGAACAUUGGGGUUGCCCGGUGAGAAAUUUCCGGAGUAGAACUCGUCAAAUUCGGUGAACGCUUCGACGGUGACGUCGGUGCCAAUACCGAGCCAAGCCCCAGGCAACUGGGGAAGGUGUAGAGACUUGACGGCGAGCACCUAACCUUUCGUUGGUCAGCCAACGAAGUAUGGUGAAGAUAAAGUCCAGACCACAAACGCCCAG
Molecule: non-coding RNA, 258 nt
Filed under: Neolewinella aquimaris
Lineage: Bacteria; Pseudomonadati; Bacteroidota; Saprospiria; Saprospirales; Lewinellaceae
Description: Lewinella aquimaris Group I catalytic intron
Rfam family: Group I catalytic intron
About the family: Group I catalytic introns are large self-splicing ribozymes. They catalyse their own excision from mRNA, tRNA and rRNA precursors in a wide range of organisms.
Source: RNAcentral